UUCCCCGAUCUCCUCUUCCUCGACCUCACGCCGAAACCCGAAACUCCCUUCCCUCUCCGGCGAUUUCUCGCCUCACCGACACCAAGCUCACGAUCGCCGACCAUCUUCCUUCGGGUAGGGCUAGGGCAAAGACUCCAUUGGCUCCUCUUGCGAUCCUUUUCCUUUCUCUCUUUCUCACGAACGCCCGAUGCCAACGAAGAACGACUUCUUCCACGGCGAUCGCGUCCUCGUCGAGUCACCGGAGAGAAUGGCGUUGGUUUUCGGGGGUUACCGAUCAUCUCCCACUGAGAGGUUGUCUUCUCGGCGGUUUCUUGCUCGCGGUCGGCAGCAGCCUAGCGUCUAGGGCACAGCCGGGGGAGUUUGAUUCGCAUCACCAGCCGAUCAAUCGUCUCCUCCUCAAUUUGUUCCUUAGGAUUGAUCUGUAGCUCCACACCCGCUGGAUUGGAUCGGGCGACAUCAUCAGAGGCGACCUAUCAAGGGGAAAGUACCGAAUCAUCUUAGUGACAGAUCUUCCUUGAGUGGAUUUUGAUCUUCUUCUCUGUUCGUGGGCAAGAACAGAUCAUUUGCCCUAGCCUUGAUCUUGGAGGUGAUGAAAGUGUGGGCAGCAGUAAGCAUCAUACCCAUGAUUUCUAGCAGUGGUUGCUUCAGUUUUGGUUCUUUGGUAACUCUCGGGUGAAGAGCUUGAUUUGGGAUCAAUUGAGCUGUUAGGAGGAUUAUGGUGGGAGCUGUGAGUGUUGAUCAGCUACAACCUUCCAAGGACUUGGGUUCGGGACGAGCGUCUCGACGCGGGAUUACUUGGCACGAUCUACAU
Molecule: long non-coding RNA, 811 nt
Organism: Zingiber officinale
Lineage: Eukaryota; Viridiplantae; Streptophyta; Magnoliopsida; Zingiberales; Zingiberaceae
Exons: 5
Source: RefSeq, a predicted model, not a curated record